Molecule: unclassified non-coding RNA, 520 nt
Filed under: Hevea brasiliensis (rubber tree)
Lineage: Eukaryota; Viridiplantae; Streptophyta; Magnoliopsida; Malpighiales; Euphorbiaceae
Source: RNAcentral
CUCCGUCUUUCUCUUUUUUUCUCUAUUCUCUACUCCAUGCCAAUACUAAAGAUGAGCUUUACAUUAAUUAAUUAUACAAGACAUAGGUAUCUGAGCAUAAAUGAAACACAAGAAAUUUAAGAAAACAAAAAGGCAUCAGACAAAAUUGGGUAGCAAACAAUCAAGAAAGCUUGAAUGAAAAAUUACAUCAUUUGAAAAAGCAAUCACGGAUACAAUGUCUGAUCUAGGAACAUUCUUACAUUCAGUGUUGUUAAAGGUGCUGGGCCAGGCUAGGCAACCCUCUAGCGCCUUGCUUGGCACCACCUCGCCUGGCUUCCGAGAGAUGGCCACCCCAACGACAAAGGCAAAGGGCAUUGAGGCGAUGACUUUUGAAAGGAACGGUAAGGUUUUUUUUUUCAUUUUUUUAAUUUUUUUAACCCAACUAAAAUUAAAACCCUAGUUACCCUACCUCAUUCUCUGUCACGCAGGCGAGAAUGCAGUAGCUGUAGCUCUCCUUUCUCCCACAGCAGCUCCUCUCUCU